AACGCGUAUGCAAUCUACCUUUCACAGAGGGAUAGCCCAGAGAAAUUUGGAUUAAUACCUCAUAGUAUAGCAGUUUCGCAUGAAACCACUAUUAAAGUUCCAACGGUGAAAGAUGAGCAUGCGUCCCAUUAGCUAGAUGGUAAGGUAACGGCUUACCAUGGCUACGAUGGGUAGGGGUCCUGAGAGGGAGAUCCCCCCACACUGGUACUGAGACACGGACCAGACUCCUACGGGAGGCAGCAGUGAGGAAUAUUGGUCAAUGGACGCAAGUCUGAACCAGCCAUGCCGCGUGCAGGAUGACGGUCCUAUGGAUUGUAAACUGCUUUUGUACGAGAAGAAACAACAUUACGUGUAAUGUCUUGACGGUAUCGUAAGAAUAAGGAUCGGCUAACUCCGUG
RNAcentral lists this ribosomal RNA (398 nucleotides) under uncultured bacterium. Its description in RNAcentral is "bacterial SSU rRNA". It matches the Rfam family "Bacterial small subunit ribosomal RNA", at positions 112 to 507 of the family's 1533-position model. The record is from RNAcentral.